CAGAUUGAACGCUGGCGGCAGGCCUAACACAUGCAAGUCGAGCGGUAACAGGAGAAAGCUUGCUUUCUUGCUGACGAGCGGCGGACGGGUGAGUAAUGUAUGGGGAUCUGCCCGAUAGAGGGGGAUAACUACUGGAAACGGUGGCUAAUACCGCAUAAUGUCUACGGACCAAAGCAGGGGCUCUUCGGACCUUGCACUAUCGGAUGAACCCAUAUGGGAUUAGCUAGUAGGUGGGGUAAAGGCUCACCUAGGCGACGAUCUCUAGCUGGUCUGAGAGGAUGAUCAGCCACACUGGGACUGAGACACGGCCCAGACUCCUACGGGAGGCAGCAGUGGGGAAUAUUGCACAAUGGGCGCAAGCCUGAUGCAGCCAUGCCGCGUGUAUGAAGAAGGCCUUAGGGUUGUAAAGUACUUUCAGCGGGGAGGAAGGUGAUAAGGUUAAUACCCUUGUCAAUUGACGUACCCGCAGAAGAAGCACCGGC
This 482-nucleotide ribosomal RNA is filed under the name Proteus mirabilis. Its description in RNAcentral is "bacterial SSU rRNA". It matches the Rfam family "Bacterial small subunit ribosomal RNA", at positions 25 to 497 of the family's 1533-position model. The record is from RNAcentral. Lineage: Bacteria; Pseudomonadati; Pseudomonadota; Gammaproteobacteria; Enterobacterales; Morganellaceae.